This is a long non-coding RNA of Fukomys damarensis (Damara mole-rat), 2070 nucleotides long. The record is from Ensembl. Lineage: Eukaryota; Metazoa; Chordata; Mammalia; Rodentia; Bathyergidae.
AUGCUGCCUUCCUCCCCCGCCUCGGCCUGCCGGAGAGUGCGCCCCGGAACAGUUGAGGCCCGCCGGCUCCCACUUCUGGGCUCUCUCACCUCAUUGCCCCGACAGCCAGGAGUUCACAGGAAAGGAAGAAUCCACCCGCCUGCCCCGGAAGGACGAGGCCCAAGCCCUCUGGCCACCCAGGAGGAGCUCCAGGAGCUCGCCUGUCGCCCCCUCUGCCCUUCCGGGCUCUUUCCUGCGGUCCUGCACAAGCCAAGGGCUCCUUCGGGUGCCUCCCACCCCCCAGGCCUGGGGCAGGGCCUGCAGUCCGCCAGCCACUGCUGCUCAGCUCAAGCCCCUGGCGUCCUGGUCAAGGUCUCUGCGGGGAGAACAGUGGCCCCGCCACAGCCCCAGUGGGGCUGGAGGAGGACGGCUGUUUGUUGCAGGUGGGAACCAACGCUUAGACCCCUGCCCCGCCCGGUCCUCAGCCGGCCUGCUGGUCUGUGUCCGCCUGGUGACACGGCAGUGUUUGCCAUGUUCCCGGCACUUACCCACGUGGCCAUCUCCCUGGCGGUGGAGGCCCCCGGUGGGAUGGCCACUGGGUGGUUUCCAGGGAACUGUGCAGCUUCUGGGGGAAGAGGGAGGCCUGACGGGAGUGUCUGUGUGGCCCCCAUGGCCCUGUCUACCUGCCGCUUGUGGACAGCAGGCAGAGGCAGGCUUCACUCAGUGCCCUGCUGCUCCUGGAGAACCAGUCCUGCAGACGACAGGCUUCUCUCUCAGCCCGGCUCAGCCUCAUCCCCUGGCCGUCCCCAGUGAGCGCCCAGACAGCGACUUUGAGGUGAGGAUUCUCAUGCAGGAGGUUUAUUGGAACCGGCCCCUGGGUCACCGACAGCGAGGGGAGGCGUCUUAGUUACUUUUCUCAUCACUGAGACGAAAUGCCUGACGCCCAGGGUCACAAGGGGAGAGGUUUAUUUGGCUCACGGUUGUAGAGGCUCAGUCCCGUCAGCUAGCUCCAUGCGGGGCGGAUGGCAGAGGGGCAUCGCAGCGGGGAAACAGUUCAUCCACGCCAAAGCUGGGCAGGCAGAAGGCAGCAAGCAGCAAGCCACAAGUGAUGAGUGACACAAUAGCCCUCUGCCUGUCCUUUACAUCGUAUUCAGGCUCCUGGAUCUUGGAGUGGGAAUCACUCUCACCCAGGGUGAGGCACCCCUAAUCCUACCCAGAACUGUGCCAAACCAGUCAGGGGACCAAUUUAGCAAUCACACAGCCUUAAUCCCAGCAUCUCGCACACUGUUGAUCCAGCACCUCUGAAAAGCCCCACCUCUGACUGCAUGAGGCUUCGGGGGACAUACAGACACCGCUCUGAGCUGAGGGACACCUCAGGCAGAGUCCCAGAAUCUGCCAGUCCAGACCCAGGAGCCUCUGGAGUGUAAAUUUCACCUGUGGUCGUCAUCGGACUUUCACAUCCCCAAGUCAGGUCUGUCCUCAGCAAAGGGACAUCAGAGGGGACAUAAACUGCAGGCCCUUCUGUACUUUUGCACAGCAAAUGUGGCCAGCAGAGGGGACCUGGCAGAGCACCCGUGCCCUGCCCCCUCCUGGCUCCCUUCCUCCAGGGGACCCCCAUCCUGUUCUCUCUCCAGCUUCCUUGCAGCGUGGGGCACUGUGCCUCCCCAGGCACACAGCACUUUAAAACAGUGGCUGCUGUCCAGAGCCCUCUACUGCACCCUGUUGCUGGCUAUGAACUCACCUUAGAAAUCUGCAUGGAUGCCUUUUAAAUUUUAUAAGGUAUUCUUGUUAGUUGUAAAGAAAAGUUCCCAAGCAUACAAAGGUGCUUAUGGCCACAGUGGAGAUUUCCUGCUGCUCUCUUUCUGGGGCAGGUUUCUGGCCAGAGGCUUCCUCGAGGAUUAAACAGCUCUGAGGUGGAUGUAGAGAGCUCCUGGUGGCUGCCAGAGCACCAACCCUCACGCCUGAGGUGGUCCAGUCACUCUGGCCUUCCUCAGCCUGUGCAGAGGCCUGGUCAUUCUAGCUGUUGACUUGGAGCUCACAGCACUGCACUGGCAGCUGUGUCCCAGCCCGCACGGCAGUGUCCUCUAUUCC